This 1408-nucleotide ribosomal RNA is filed under the name uncultured Rhizaria. Its description in RNAcentral is "SSU rRNA". It matches the Rfam family "Eukaryotic small subunit ribosomal RNA", at positions 384 to 1804 of the family's 1831-position model. The record is from RNAcentral.
CGGAGAGGGAGCAUGAGAAACGGCUACCACUUCUAAGGAAGGCAGCAGGCGCGCAAAUUACCCAAUCCUGACUCAGGGAGGUAGUGACAAGAAAUAACAAUAAACCGGCUUAUGCCGGUUUAAUUGGAAUGAGUACAAUUUAAACAUCUUAACGAGGAACAAUUGGAGGGCAAGUCUGGUGCCAGCAGCCGCGGUAAUUCCAGCUCCAAUAGCGUAUACUAAAGUUGUUGCAGUUAAAAAGCUCGUAGUUGGAUUUCUGCGGGGACGGAGCGGCCGGUCGCAACUUGCGACUCGAGCUAGCGCUUUUUUUGCAUCCUGCCGCGAACCGUGCUACCAUUAGUUUGGUGGCGCUGGGGAUCGGCUCGAUUACUUUGAGAAAAAUAGAGUGUUCAAAGCAGGCCACACGCCUUGAAUAAGUUAGCAUGGAAUAAUGACUAAGGACUUUGGUUCUUUUCGUUGGUGUUCGGGACUGAAGUAAUGAUUGAUAGGGACAGCUGGGGCGGUCCGUAUUCCAAAGCGAGAGGUGAAAUUCUUAGACCUUCGGAAGACGAACAGCUGCGAAAGCGUUCCGCAAGGAUGUUCCCUUUGAUCAAGGACGAAAGUUGGGGGAUCGAAGACGAUCAGAUACCGUCGUAGUCUCAACUAUAAACUAUACCAGCUAGGGAUCGGCCAACGUUUAACUAUUCGACUUGGUCGGCACCUUAUGAGAAAUCAAAGCAUCUGGGUUCCGGGGGUAGUAUGGUCGCAAGGCUGAAACUUAAAGGAAUUGACGGAAGGGCACCACCAGCCGUGGAGCCUGUGGCUUAAUUUGACUCAACACGGGAAAACUUACUAGGUCCGGACAUAGUGAGGAUUGACAGAUUGAUAGCUCUCUCUUGAUUCUGUGGGUGGUGGUGCAUGGCCGUUUUUAGUCGGUGGAUGUGAUCUGUCUGCUUAAUUGCGUUAACGGACGAGACCCCAGCCUGCUAAAUAGCGCGGCCGAGCUUUGCUCGGUGCGAGCUUCUUAGAGGGACCAUGAUGCGCGAUAGCACAAGGAAGUUUGGGGCAACAACAGGUCUGUGAUGUUCUUAGAUGUUCUGGGCCGCACACGGGCUACACUGGCGCCUGCAACGAGCAUAUCAGCUGGCCCGAGAGGGUCUUGGCUAAUCUUUGGAACCGGCGCCGUGCUUGGGAUUGACCAUUGCAAUUGUUGGUCAUGCAACGAGGAAUGCCUUGUAAACGCGAGUCAUCAGCUCGCAUUGAACACGUCCCUGCCCUUUGUACACACCGCCCGUCGCUCCUACCGAUGAAUGUUCCGAUGAAAUUUUCGGAGAGCACCAGAGAACGGGGCUCUGCCUUGCAGAUCUGGAGGCUCAAAGUCACUUAAAUCUGAACAUUUUGAGGAAGGAGAAGUCGUAACAAGGUAACC